AUUGAACGCUGGCGGCAGGCCUAACACAUGCAAGUCGAGCGGAUGAAGGGAGCUUGCUCCUUGAUUCAGCGGCGGACGGGUGAGUAAUGCCUAGGAAUCUGCCUGGUAGUGGUUGAUAACGUCCGGAAACGGGCGCUAAUACCGCAUACGUCCUGAGGGAGAAAGUGGGGGAUCUUCGGACCUCACGCUAUCAGAUGAGCCUAGGUCGGAUUAGCUAGUUGGUGGGGUAAAGGCCUACCAAGGCGACGAUCCGUAACUGGUCUGAGAGGAUGAUCAGUCACACUGGAACUGAGACACGGUCCAGACUCCUACGGGAGGCAGCAGUGGGGAAUAUUGGACAAUGGGCGCAAGCCUGAUCCAGCCAUGCCGCGUGUGUGAAGAAGGUCUUCGGAUUGUAAAGCACUUUAAGUUGGGAGGAAGGGCAGUAAGUUAAUACCUUGCUGUUUUGACGUUACCAACAGAAUAAGCACCGGCUAACUUCGUG
RNAcentral lists this ribosomal RNA (484 nucleotides) under uncultured bacterium. RNAcentral describes it as "partial 16S ribosomal RNA". It matches the Rfam family "Bacterial small subunit ribosomal RNA", at positions 30 to 507 of the family's 1533-position model. The record is from RNAcentral.